GAUGAACGCUAGCGGGAGGCCUAAUACAUGCAAGUCGAGCGGUAGAGUGACUUCGGUUGCUUGAGAGCGGCGCACGGGUGAGUAACGCGUACAUGACCUACCUUUAAGACUGGGAUAGCCCUGGGAAACUGGGAUUAAUACCGGAUGUGAUAAUACGUAUAGAGAUGUAUUAUUAAAGUUGAGGCGCUUAGAGAUGGAUGUGCGUCUGAUUAGCUAGUUGGUAGGGUAACGGCCUACCAAGGCGACGAUCAGUAGGGGGCGUGAGAGCGUGGUCCCCCACACGGGUACUGAGACACGGACCCGACUCCUACGGGAGGCAGCAGUAAGGAAUAUUGGUCAAUGCCCGCAAGGGUGAACCAGCCAUUCCGCGUGGAGGAUGAAGGCCCUAUGGGUUGUAAACUUCUUUUAGAUGGGAAGAAAAUGCUAGAUGUAUCUGGUACUGACGGUACCAUCAGAAUAAGCACCGGCUAACUCCGUGCCAGCAGCCGCGGUAAA
This 495-nucleotide ribosomal RNA is filed under the name uncultured bacterium. Its description in RNAcentral is "bacterial SSU rRNA". It matches the Rfam family "Bacterial small subunit ribosomal RNA", at positions 28 to 524 of the family's 1533-position model. The record is from RNAcentral.